AGUGAACGCUGGCGGUAGGCCUAACACAUGCAAGUCGAACGGCAGCACAGUAAUAGCUUGCUCUUACGGGUGGCGAGUGGCGGACGGGGGAGGAAAACAUCGGAAUCUGCGUUUGCGUGGGGGGUAACGUAGGGAAACUUACGCUAAUACCGCAUACGACCUACGGGGGAAAGCAGAGGAUCUUCGGACCUUGCGCGAUUCAAUGAGCCGAUGUCGGAUUAGCUAGUUGGCGGGGUAAAGGCCCACCAAGGCGACGAUCCGUAGCUGGUCUGAGAGGAUGAUCAGCCACACUGGAACUGAGACACGGUCCAGACUCCUACGGGAGGCAGCAGUGGGGAAUAUUGGACAAUGGGCGCAAGCCUGAUCCAGCCAUGCCGCGUGGGUGAAGAAGGCCUUCGGGUUGUAAAGCCCUUUUGUUGGGAAAGAAAAGCAGCAGGUUAAUACCCCGCUGUUCUGACGGUACCCAAAGAAUAAGCACCGGCUAACUUCGUG
Molecule: ribosomal RNA, 492 nt
Filed under: uncultured bacterium
Lineage: Bacteria
Description: partial 16S ribosomal RNA
Rfam family: Bacterial small subunit ribosomal RNA
Source: RNAcentral